AUACCCUACGGGGCGCAGCAGUGGGGAAUAUUGGGCAAUGGGCGCAAGCCUGACCCAGCAACGCCGCGUGAAGGAAGAAGGCUUUCGGGUUGUAAACUCCUUUUAAGAGGGAAGAGUAGAAGACGGUACCUCUUGAAUAAGCCACGGCUAACUACGUGCCAGCAGCCGCGGUAAUACGUAGGUGGCAAGCGUUGUCCGGAUUUACUGGGUGUAAAGGGCGUGUAGCCGGGCCGGCAAGUCAGAUGUGAAAUCCCAGGGCUCAACCCUGGAACUGCGUUUGAAACUGUUCUUCUUGAGUGAUGGAG
RNAcentral lists this ribosomal RNA (305 nucleotides) under uncultured bacterium. Its description in RNAcentral is "bacterial SSU rRNA". It matches the Rfam family "Bacterial small subunit ribosomal RNA", at positions 334 to 654 of the family's 1533-position model. The record is from RNAcentral.